UAAUACGGAGGGUGCAAGCGUUAUCCGGAAUCACUGGGUUUAAAGGGUGCGUAGGUGGUAUCGUAAGUCAGAAGUGAAAGUUUGCGGCUUAACCGUAAAAUUGCUUUUGAUACUGCAAUACUUGAAUCAGGUUGAGGUUGGCGGAAUGUGGCAUGUAGCGGUGAAAUGCUUAGAUAUGCCAUAGAACACCGAUUGCGAAGGCAGCUGACUGGACCUGUAUUGACGCUGAGGCACGAAAGCGUGGGGAGCGAACAGGAUUAGAUACCCUGGUAGUCCACGCCCUAAACGAUGCUCACUCGAUGUGUGGCCUUCGGGUCGCGCAUCCAAGCGAAAGCGUUAAGUGAGCCACCUGGGGAGUACGUUCGCAAGAAUG
Molecule: ribosomal RNA, 373 nt
Filed under: uncultured bacterium
Lineage: Bacteria
Description: bacterial SSU rRNA
Rfam family: Bacterial small subunit ribosomal RNA
Source: RNAcentral